UAGAGCACAAUUUUUCAGUUAUACAUGAACAUACAUAUAUUCAUUGUCACAUUUUUUUUCACUGUGAGCAACCACAAGAUCUUGUAUAUAUUUCCCUGUGCUAUACAGUAUAAUCUUGUUUAUAGAUUCUAUGUUUUGAAAUCUCAGCCUGUUCCUUCCCACUCCCGCCCCUUCGGCAACCACAAAUUUGUAUUCUAUGUCUUAUGAGUCUGUUUCUGUUUUGUAUUUAUAUUUUGUUUUUUGUUUUAGAUUCCACAUAUGAAC
This is a non-coding RNA of Vicugna pacos (alpaca), 264 nucleotides long. NCBI's taxonomy places the organism in Eukaryota, Metazoa, Chordata, Mammalia, Artiodactyla, Camelidae. The record is from RefSeq and is a predicted model, not a curated record.